RNAcentral lists this long non-coding RNA (1290 nucleotides) under Homo sapiens (human). RNAcentral describes it as "HSALNT0364442". Lineage: Eukaryota; Metazoa; Chordata; Mammalia; Primates; Hominidae. The record is from RNAcentral.
AAAAAUGCACCCUCAUCUACCCAAUUCUGCCCUACCCUUUGGAGCUCCUGGACCCUCUAACCGCUCGGUGGGGUCAGAGCCCACCCCCGGAAGGGCCGCUGGUCGGGGACUGGUUCGCCCUCUCCUGGCCUCCUCGGACCAGUGCGCGGGGAGGAUCCCGCUAACGCCGGGCGCCUGCAGACCUUGAGCGGCCUCGCCCUGGUGACCUCCCCGGGAAAGGCUGGGCGGUGCUUCCACAAUGAGGGCCACCUGUUAAUUUGCACGAGAAAGUGCUGCCGAGGGCCCACACGUGCGAAUCCACCUGUGGAGUGCGUCCCCUCUCUGGGGCCAAGGCCUAGGGGAGGCCGAAGCGGAGAAGUUGCCUGAAGACUGGGAAGUAAGAGUAGGGGCGUCGGAGGAAUCGAAGUUGCAGUGACAUCAGGCUCGGACAGCCGGCGGACUCCUCGCAAGGCCUCAAACUUCUUCAUGGGAAAAGAUGGCUUCUCUUUUUUAAUUGAAUGAACUAGAAGAAGUUCAUUGUUAUUCAUCAACUUCAAAGAGACUAUAUGAGGCCCCUUGGCCAGGACUACAGAGCAGUAUUUUUUAAUCAGAAAUUAUAGCCAAAAAGAAGAGACCAGAACACAUGGCAGCCUGCAUGGACUAAGACAAGCUCAUUUUCUGGAAAGUCUUGAACUAAGUACUUGAAAAUACAAAGAUAAAUGAAGCACAAGUGCUGACUUCAAGGAAAUGCCAGAAUUGAAAGAAACUACUUUAAAUUUCAUAUGGAACCAAAAAAAGCCCAUAUAGCCAAGAUGAUCCUAAGCAAAAAGAGCAAAGCUGGAGGCAUCAUGCUACCUGGCUUCAAACUAUACUACAAGGCUACAGUAACAAAAACAGCAUGGCACUGGUACUAAAACAGAUAUAUAGACCAAUGGAACAGAACAGAGGCCUCAGAAAUAACGCCACACAUCUACAACCAUCUGAUCUUUGACAAACCUGACAAAAACAAGCAAUGAGGAAAGGAUUCCCUAUUUAAUAAAUGGCGUUGGGAAAACUGGCUAGCCAUAUGCAGAAAACUGAAACUGGACCCCUUCCUGAUACCUUAAACAAAAAUUAAUUCAAGGUAGAUUAAGGACUUAAACAUAAGACCUAAAACCAUAAAAACCCUAGAAGAAAAGCUAGGCAAUACCAUUCAGGACACAGGCAUGGGCAAAGACUUCAUGACUAAAACACCAAAAGCAAUGGCAACAAAAGCCAAAAUAGACAAAUGGGAUCUAAUUAAACUAAAGAGCUUCUGCACAGCAAAAGAAA